UACGAAGGGGGCUAGCGUUGCUCGGAAUCACUGGGCGUAAAGCGCACGUAGGCGGAUUGUUAAGUCAGGGGUGAAAUCCUGGAGCUCAACUCCAGAACUGCCUUUGAUACUGGCGAUCUUGAGUUCGGGAGAGGUGAGUGGAACUGCGAGUGUAGAGGUGAAAUUCGUAGAUAUUCGCAAGAACACCAGUGGCGAAGGCGGCUCACUGGCCCGGUACUGACGCUGAGGUGCGAAAGCGUGGGGAGCAAACAGG
This 253-nucleotide ribosomal RNA is filed under the name uncultured bacterium. RNAcentral describes it as "partial 16S ribosomal RNA". It matches the Rfam family "Bacterial small subunit ribosomal RNA", at positions 524 to 776 of the family's 1533-position model. The record is from RNAcentral.